Gadus macrocephalus (Pacific cod) is the source of this 1170-nucleotide long non-coding RNA. RefSeq lists it as uncharacterized. Lineage: Eukaryota; Metazoa; Chordata; Actinopteri; Gadiformes; Gadidae. The record is from RefSeq and is a predicted model, not a curated record. The transcript has 3 exons.
AGAGAGAUUCCCUACCCGGACGGACCUUUGCCCCAGGACCCGGUCUAGAGAAGACCUCAGAACGACACGGAAGGACCUCCUCAUCUGGAUACCGGGACAGUUAAAGGCUUUUUGAAGUAAAGAGGAGCAUCUCAUCUGAACCUGAUGUCUAUCAUGGAUAUUUAACUGCAGUUCUGUGAGUAUCCCAACUUAACCAUGAAGAUGAACUGCAAACUGUAAGUCAUUAAUUUCUCAUUACUCUUGGGCACAUUGAUGUAUUUUGGCUUCCUGGUGAGUUAACCCGUUACCUGAAGGUUGAUCUGAGUAGUAAGGAUGUUUUAUUGGUUCAUGGGUUACUUGAGUGUUUGGUUUAUGGUGGUUUUAAUGAUUUGUUAAAAUGGUUACAGGCUCCAAGUUAUUGUUGUAAGCUGGAGUAAUGGGUUGGGUUCUGAUAUCUUCAGUCUUCUUUCAUUCUACUCUCCUGAGCCCUGCAUCUUCAUCACAUGAGUGUUUCUUUAUUGAUGAGGGUGUGGUCUGAGUGAGCAGAGGUGCAUACUGGGAUACAGAGCUGUCUGAAGUCUACAGGUCUGUAGACAAGCCCCCUCAGGGGAAACCGAGUGUUUGAGAAACUGUCGUGACGUCAGUUACAUGGACUGGAAUGUUCUUAAAGAUGGAGACAGGGAUUCAGAAGGAGAAACACCAGGGGGAGAUGAGGGGGCUCCUCAUCUCAACGACUAAAACACAACUUCAGUCUGACAAAGAGAACCAUGGAACACCUUCAACAGUCCCCUCCAGGCAUCGUGACUCCUCAGGAACAGUUUCAUUUCCAAGAAGGUCUUAUUUGGGGCCAUCCCCAUAUGGAUCCUGCUCCUCAAGAGCUACCCCCGUCUACUGGGUGGUCUUCUGAACAGAUGACCUCCUUCCUGUCCUCAGGCUGACUAAAGCUGCACCGUUUGCAUCUGUGACGGCCCCUCAUUCAGGAAACCACUGGACUACAAAGACAUGACUUCAGAGACGUUGACUCAACCUGAGACACAUUUUGGAGACGCCAAGCAUAAUCAAUCACCAAUGUGGGACGCCACUGAAGAAUGUUGUACAUAAUUUACGUCUCUGGAGACAUUGGUUGUUCUGUUAUGGGUGCCCUGGCAGGAGAGCUGGGGGGGGAUGAUGGAAUGUUAUUUGGCGUGAGGU